GCCCGUUUGGCUUAGUGGUACAGCGUCUCACUCGUAAACCGAAUGUGUGUCCGAUAUGAGAAGAUCCUCGGUUCGAUUCCGAGAAUGGGCA
This is a transfer RNA of Pseudogymnoascus sp. 23342-1-I1, 91 nucleotides long. It matches the Rfam family "tRNA". From Rfam's summary of the family: Transfer RNA (tRNA) molecules are approximately 80 nucleotides in length. The record is from Rfam. NCBI's taxonomy places the organism in Eukaryota, Fungi, Ascomycota, Leotiomycetes, Thelebolales, Thelebolaceae.